GGUAACGGGCGCGCCGGCGUCUGCGCCCCGGGGGGAAGAUGCGGCCUGCGGCGCCCGCCGCCUCUCCCCCGGCCUCAUGGCGGGCCCGGGGCCACUGAGGAGGAAGGUCCCGGCCGCCGGACUGCGGGGCAGCGGGCACCAGUGAAAUCCCAUUCUCUGGCUGGAGACACAGAUGGCCUCAAAUGAGAGAGAUGCUAUAUCGUGGUACCAAAAGAAGAUUGGAGCAUAUGAUCAGCAGAUAUGGGAAAAGUCAAUCGAACAGACUCAGAUUAAGGCUAAGAAAGCUGUCUCCUCAUCUACAAUGGGCUUCAAAAACAAACCAAAAAAGAUGGGUCACAUAAAACCAGACUUGAUUGACGUGGACUUAAUCAGAGGCUCAACAUUUGCCAAAGCCAAACCUGAAAUUCCAUGGACAUCUCUGACUCGAAAGGGGCUUGUUCGAGUUGUCUUUUUCCCGUUGUUCAGCAAUUGGUGGAUUCAGGUUACCUCUUUAAGAAUCUUUGUUUGGCUGCUACUGCUUUACCUCAUGCAAGUUAUAGCACUCGUGUUAUAUUUUAUGAUGCCUAUUGUGAAUGUAAGCGAAGUACUUGGACCCUUGUGCCUUAUGUUACUCAUGGGAACUGUCCACUGUCAAAUUGUGUCUACUCAGAUAACAAGGCCAUCGGGAAACAAUGGAAAUCGGAGAAGAAGAAAAUUACGAAAAACUGUAAAUGGUGACGGGAGCCGAGAAAAUGGAAAUAACUCCUCUGAUAAAGUCAGAGGAGUAGAAACUUUGGAAUCUAUACCCUUUAUUGGUGGAUUUUGGGACAGUCUCUUUGGCAACAGGAUUAAAAGAGUGAAAUUAAUAUGUAACAAAGGAACUGAAACUGAUAAUGACCCAAGUUGUCUGCAUCCUAUCAUUAAGAAGAGACAAUGUCGACCAGAGAUUAGAAUGUGGCAAACAAAAGAGAAAGCAAAAUUUUCAGAUGGAGAAAAGUGCCAUAGGGAGGCUUUUAGGCAUCUGGGUAAUGGGAUUUCAGAUGAUCUGUCAAGCGAGGAGGACGGUGAAGCCCGGACACAGAUGAUGAUGUUGCGCAGGAGUGUGGAAGGGGCCUCAAGUGACAACGGCUGUGAAGUUAAGAAUAGAAAGUCAAUACUUUCUAGGCACCUAAACACUCAGGUAAAGAAAACCACCACCAAGUGGUGUCACAUUGCACGGGAUUCAGAUAGUCUGGCUGAAUCAGAGUUUGAAUCGGCGGCCUUCAGUCAGGGCUCUAGGUCUGGCAUGAGUGGUGGCUCUCGAAGCCUGACCAUGUCCAGAAGAGACUCAGAAAGCACCCGCCAUGACUCAGAGACCGAGGAUAUGCUAUGGGACGACCUGCUGCAUGGCCCAGAGUGCCGGUCAUCUGUCACCAGUGACAGUGAGGGGGCCCAUGUGAACACCCUCCAUUCAGGGACCAAACGUGAUCCCAAAGAAGAUGUUUUUCAGCAGAACCACUUAUUCUGGCUUCAGAACUCAAGUCCUGCCUCUGACCGAGUUAGUGCAAUAAUCUGGGAAGGGAAUGAGUGCAAAAAGAUGGAUAUGUCUGUGUUGGAAAUAAGUGGCAUCAUCAUGAGCAGGGUUAAUGCGUACCAGCAAGGAGUAGGUUAUCAGAUGCUGGGAAAUGUCGUCACCAUUGGAUUAGCAUUUUUCCCUUUUUUACAUCGACUUUUCCGUGAGAAGAGUUUUGACCAGCUAAAGUCUAUUUCAGCUGAGGAGAUCAUGACUCUCUUUUGUGGGGCACCACCUGUUACACCUAUUAUUAUUUUGUCUAUGAUUAAUUUUUUUGAACGAUUGUGUCUUACUUGGAUUUUUUUUUUCAUGAUGUGUGUGGCAGAAAGAACAUAUAAACAGAGAUUUUUAUUUGCAAAACUCUUCAGCCAUAUUACUUCUGCCAGGAAGGCUAGGAAAUAUGAAAUACCUCAUUUCAGACUUAAAAAGGUGGAGAACAUUAAGAUAUGGUUAUCACUGCGCUCCUUUCUCAAGAGACGGGGUCCACAGCGCUCAGUUGAUGUCGUCGUAUCUUCAGUCUUCUUACUGACACUUUCCAUUGCUUUCAUUUGUUGUGCCCAGGUUCUGCAAGGGCAUAAAACUUUCCUGAAUGAUGCUUAUAAUUGGGAGUUUUUGAUCUGGGAAACAGCUUUACUACUUUUCUUACUGCGUCUGGCCUCAUUGGGGUCUGAAACCAAUAAGAAAUACAGCAAUGUUUCAAUAUUACUUACGGAACAGAUUAAUUUAUAUCUUAAGAUGGAAAAAAAGCCUAAUAAGAAAGAACAGCUCACUCUAGUAAAUAAUGUAUUAAAGCUGUCCACCAAGUUAUUGAAAGAGCUGGACACACCGUUUAGACUCUAUGGACUGACAAUGAAUCCCUUAAUCUACAAUAUCACACGAGUAGUUAUCCUUUCUGCUGUCUCAGGUGUUAUAAGUGAUCUUCUAGGAUUUAAUAUAAGACUGUGGAAAAUUAAGUCAUAAGCUGAGUCAUGUGCCUGGACUCUCCCCUUGUUGGCACCGGUACUUACCCAUUAAGGAAGGAGACGGCUGCAGAAACCCUGAGAUACCUACCUGCUUGUUCACACACAGAGUUUUGGAAGAUUGUGUGCUUUGGGGCUCCUGGGUGCUGUCUCAGUCGGUUAAGUGUCCAACUUCACCUCAGUUCCUGGUGCCCAUUUGAAUAAUGAAGUUUGAAUUUCACAAAUGUGCAGUAAUUCUAUACCUUUCCUGCAGCAUGCCUGAGCUUAUAAACUGUGAUAAGGUAUUACUCAAGUAGUGAUGUUUUGGAGUUUCAUUUUUAAACCGGGCCUGGGCCAUCACCAGUAGCUGUUAGAAGAGGCAACCGCCAUCUUUAAUGACGAGCUAACAAUCCCUUCUUCUGCAAGGACUCAAAUAUUUCUCUCUGUAAACAUGCAGCAUGCUAUUGAGGAUAUCAACUUCCAAGCCAAACCUAGUUUUUUCAUUACUGUGGAAUUAUCUGAGUGAGACGGAUACAACACACGUGAUACAGUAGAUAACUUGGCACAGAUAUAAAGUGAGUUGUGACCACACUGUGUGCACAUCAGCAUGGACACUCACGGCGACGGGCCGGGGCACCCGAGCCACGCAUGUCGGAUGAGCGCGCGGGAGGGCAGCCAGCCGGGGGACGGUUGGUUCUUAGCAGUCCUGAAGGCCCUUCAUGCAGCCUGGGUAACUUGAUGUUCAAAGUAAAAUGUGUGUGUUUCAGAAUUUCUGGAAAAAAAAAAUGACUUUUGUUUUUGAAAAAUGCUGCUUUUUAGAAAGGAAAAAUUACGACUUGUUUUUCUUUGUUUUAUACCAAAGGUCACAGCCGUUUCUCGGCCACACCAGUAGUGCCUGUGGCUUUAUUUGCACUUGGCACCUUCCAGGGCCCUGGAGUGAUUGGUGUUUUCCUAACGGGAGAAGCGCUCUCAGGUUGGAACCCUCCACCCUCUCUGUUUUUGUCGGCUGCCUCUUGUUCUUUUCCUCGGGGGUCUUCCAUUUUGUUUAAAACCAUCCUUUCUUCAGGGUCCUGCUUCAGCUUUUCUGAUUUUUUGACAUUUUCUCCUGUUUUCUCCUUGCUAGAACUUGUCUCUCCCACGGUGGCCUUCUUUCCUUCUUCCUGCUCAGACUCUGGCCUACUAGCAGUGUUACUAGUCUUUUUGGGCGGAAGAGACUUUUCAUCCGUUCUCUUGCUUCUUUUCUCUGGGGACCUUGUCCUGUUUUUCCCAGACUGGCUCUGCUUUGUGUCUUUCCUGGCAGCACCUGAUCCUUCCCUGCCGUCCGAGAUCUGCUCAGCACCGUCCCUAGCGCGGCCCCCUCCUCUCUGACUCUCAGACUCUAGUCCUCUGGCUUCAGUAUUUGGUCGGCCUUUGCUGCCUUCAGUCUUUUGCUGCUUCUUUGGGCUUGAAGAUCGUCCUCUGCUUUUUCCACAGUGAGCCUGCCCAGAACCUGCCCUAGUGCCGGUCUGACCACUUUUACUGUCCCCUCUCCUGGGGCUGAGGGACCGGUCUCUGGGUCUUCUCUUGGGGUCAGUGGUGGGAAGACUGGGAAUCUUGUCCGAACGUUCUUCUGCAUGUCGGCUGGCCGGCUUCCUGGGACUAGCAGAUCUACCUCUUUGUGUAACGCCAGUUUCUACUUUUAAGAGAUUUUUCUUGUCACCAUGCCCAUGACUGCCGGGUGGAUCCCUUUUAUUCACAUUUUUCUGGAGAAAAGAGUGCUGCUUUUUAUCAGGCUGAUUUUCAUUUAAAGUGCUUUUCUUUUCAGGCACACCGCCCUUUAAUUCCUCUGUCUUUUCACAUAUCUGAGCUCUCAUUAAAGAUUCUUCAGUUACUGGCAUGGGGGACCCCUCAAAUACGGAAGCAGAAUGUGACGCUGGGGGAAAUGGUGACUGCUCAUCAUAAAUCACAUUUGAAGACGAAGGAUUAUUAUUAAUAUCCCAAUCACCUACAAAAAGUGAUUUGAGGGGAACAUUAUUAAAUUUUAGAAUUACAACAAAUAGGGACAGCAAGUUUUGAACUUUGACAGCCAUUCGAAUUGUACUGACUGCUUAAAUAGCCUGAGUAUGAAUAUUUCAUAAAUAAAAUUUAUGUAUGUUACCAUCUCUAUAAAGUUAGAUUACAUAGACAGCUGUACUUGUGCACGAAGGGUGGGUUGUUUAAAUGUACCCAAAAUAACAGUAGUCAUUUUUCCAGUUUAUAAUUACAUAAUAUAUAUAAAGUCUUCCUAAGUAGUAAAGCCCAAUAAAAAACUUAGAAGAAAUAAAUAAUAAAAUUGGACCGAAUUACUUGGUCCAAGAAGCUUACUAAUUUGGCUGUCAUCAAAGGAUAGAGCUUAUGGAUAUGCCAAAAUCACUAAUCAAGGACACCCGACUGAGGUAACCGGAAUGAGGUUCGUGGGCAUUUACAAAUAAUUUUCUUGCAUUAAGCUGUCAAAUUUAAUGUCAAAAGGAAACUGAAAAGUGCAGAAGAUAGAAAGAGAUGUAUUUAAUAGCAUCAUUUUUAAUUAAAAAGAAAAAAAAAGAAGGAAGUGAUUUACAAGACAUGCAAAUUUACCAAGUCUUUUUAAGGAAAGACCAAGAAAAGCCCUGAAAGCCUUAAUGUUGCUCAGGUUUCACGUAGGAGCACAGACCGGAAGGAGCCAAACCUGAAGAAGGAAGAGAAAAGGCCUAGGACUAUGUAAAAAAAAAAAAAAAAUCACAGCGCAGUUAGCAAAGAUGUCAUUGGGAACGUAUGGUUUACAAGCAGAUGGUGGAAGGUAAUAACAGAGAAUUAUAGGCUGGAAGGGGACCGCAGGAGGUCACGUCUAUACUUGUCCCUCAGAAGCUCUACGGGGUUGGGCGGGGGUGCAGAAACUAGAAGGGACAAGUCCUGGUGGUGUGGUACUCUAUCUAGGCUAGUGCUCUCAGUUAAAACAUGAUGUUCAAAUCCUGUGGUAUUUCAAAAACCUACAACGAAACCAAGGAACCUGAAGCCCAGUGCAGGAGAACAGACAGUCCCAUCCACCUCCCUGACGCCAGGUAGGGUCAGAGCAGCUUGUUCUCCACAAGGGACCAGAGAAGCCUAAAGUCCUUCUACUCUUCAUUGAGAGAAACUUGUCUUCCAUUAAGGGAGUAGAUCUUACAAUGAGGAAGUAAGUGGCAUUUGAAGAGAUUUCAGACGUUUUUCAUGACAUUUAAGUCACUUGCCUCUGACGUCCUUGUUUUUUUUUUUACAAGCACGUUUCUCUAUAAAAGCAACUUACAAGUUUUCUAUUGAAAUUGCUUAACAUAUUCCAACCCAACACAAAUCACGCCUGAAGCCACUUACUUGGUAAUAUUCUAAUAACCCUGCUGUGUAAGUAGCUUUCGAUGGUUCUGGUGUUUACCUUUGAACUAGCCAGCAAAAUAUCUAGCCCCUUCAAACAGACAUUCUUUUUCUGUCGUCGCCCCCUCCAUAACUUUUCAGCUCCAGGUGAGAGCCUUUCCUUACCGUGGUCAGGUAUCAGGCCAGUCCCUGGCCUCAAAAGAAGAAGAACUUUAUUCCCACCAGCCUGAAUGAGUUCAAUCGCUCGAGUAUGCGUGAUACCUUGUGUAGGUUCCCCAUUGAUUUCAACGAUCUGGUCACCAACCUAGAGAGGGAACAUUCACAGGAACAACAUGAAACUAUGCAUCCUCCUUCGAUUCUGCUCUGUCCACUCGACAGCCGCUCAACCUUACUGACUCAUUUGCAAACCAUCUAACUUGUACACGGUGCUGUGUCAUUGCUAAAGCUGAUGGGCGGAGGGAUGACCGCAGUGGGAAGAGACAGCAUCCAGCUUUAUUUGCUCUGUAGAAAUCCUACAGGAGAAAGUCGCAUGUGAGGAGGAAACAGGAUCCGGGCACCUUGAAAUCACAAAUGAGAUCUGGAGUUUUCAACCAAAAGAGAAGUGCCAGAAGAGGUGAGGUCUCUAUGAUCCACAUGAUGCCACGGGGCUGGGUCUGAAUGGCCCACUAGGAAGAGUACUUUCCAAGAGGAGUUGAAUCUGGAAUUUAUUUUCUAAAACCCGGGCUGGUGGCUCAUCGUGGAAGCCUUUCCUGGCCUCCACGGAGAACUGCUCCCUCCCCUUCAUGUUGCCAGCACAGCCUGUAGAUGUAUGAGGCACUAGAUGAAUGAAAUGUUCGGAGAUAAAAACUUCAGCUUGGAGAAUAUAUCCAUAUGAAUACUGAUUUAAAACCGGUAAUGGGCGUAUGCUCGUGACUUCAGUGUAAAAUAAUUUCCCUAGGUAACAUAAAACCAGGGACCAGAAUGAGACGCCUCAGUACCUCUGCUAUUUACUAGAAAUGCUGUCUAGGUAUUUCAAAAGAAAAGGGGGAAACAUGGAUACGUCAAGUGUCACUUUUGCAAAAGGACCUGAUAAAAGAUAACGAUGGUAGUGAUUUUAAAAUACAUUUCAGUAGUGCCCGGGUGGCUUAGUCAAGUGUCUGACUCCUGAUUUCAGCUCAUAGUUGGUAAGAUCGAGCCCCAAGUUGGGCUCUGUGCUGACAGCAUGGAACCUGCUUGGGAUUUUCUCACUCUGCCCCUCCCCAACUCAUGUGCACGUGCUCUCUCUCAAAAUAAAUAAAAAAAUGUUUCAAGGUGACAAGCAGAGGCUUGUUUGGCUUUAAAAGAGAUAAACCGAGGGGUGCCUGGGUGACUCAGUCGGUUAAGUGUCCAAUUUCAGUUCAGGUCAUGAUCUCGUGGUUUGUGAGUUCGAGCCCCACAUCAGGCUCCAUAUUGACAGCUCAGAGCCUGGAGCCUGCUUCGCAUUCUGUGUCUCCCUCUCUCUCUCUCUGCCCCUCCCCUACCCCGACCCUGUCUCUCUCUCAAAAAUAGACAUUAAAAAAAAGCGAACAAUGGAAAACUACUGACAUUCCAAACAGCUCAAAAAUUUGUAAGAGCUUACGAAAACAAUCCAGAAAUAACAGAAGGUGACUCAAUUAUUUAACAGAAGCUGGUAGGAAAGUCUGUAGCCACAGAUACAGCGAAGCCCAGUGGCCAGGAAGCAGGGCCUUGGAGUCAUAAUGUCUGUGGUUCACCCCUAGCUCCACCUCCAGCCGGCAGAGGGUCUCAUUUUCCUCUCUGUGAAAUGGGGACAAUAUUAGUACCCACCUCCUGGGGUCCGGGCGGGGAUUUAAUGAGAUAAAACCUGGUGACACACCAAACACAAGCAGAUGUUCCUUUUCAAGUUAUCUACUUCCUGGUUUUCCCCCAAAGGACUUCAAGUGCAUCAGGAGGAAGAUUUACCCGAGCCCGUCCCCCACUGUAUAUACCGCAAAACAUGUCAACUAUGAAAAAGAAAACAGAUUAAAAGGUUUUGUUGCAUAUUUAUGAAAAAAAAAAAAGGAAUCUCUUGAAUAAUUGGAGGGUAUGACAAGAUAAGUGGACUUAACAUAGGAGAAAAAACUUAAAAAAAAAACUAACCAAAAUAAGAUAAUAAACAUAAUAGGAUGGAAAAAAGUAAUAAACAGAAUAAAAAUACUUACAUCCAGAAUAUGUGAGAUAAAAGCUAAUACCCGGAUUUCCCUUAAUAGUAAGUGAUUGAAGAAAAAUAAUUUGUAUGAGGAAAUAAAUACAAAUGACAAGUGACAAAUCAGUCCUGCUGAUUAAUGAGACAAAUGGAAAUUAAGGUAGACGGUAUUUGGAGCGUGCUUUGGGCGUAUCUUGUAAAACAUGACUGAGGUUUCCCUUAAUUGCAGUCACAUUCUUUGGCUUAACUUCAGUGUCCUAAGCUGCAUAUUUCUGAUUCUUUCGGUACAACGAAUAAAUUGCAAUAAAGCUUGUAAUUGAACAGA
RNA transcript from Felis catus (domestic cat), 8297 nucleotides. It is a transcript of the gene named putative homeodomain transcription factor 1, with no coding region annotated. The record is from RefSeq and is a predicted model, not a curated record. Lineage: Eukaryota; Metazoa; Chordata; Mammalia; Carnivora; Felidae. The transcript is spliced from 23 exons.